Molecule: ribosomal RNA, 804 nt
Filed under: uncultured bacterium
Lineage: Bacteria
Description: bacterial SSU rRNA
Rfam family: Bacterial small subunit ribosomal RNA
Source: RNAcentral
ACGGCAGCACGGGAGCAAUCCUGGUGGCGAGUGGCGAACGGGUGAGUAAUGUAUCGGAACGUACCUUUCAGUGGGGGAUAACGUAGCGAAAGUUACGCUAAUACCGCAUAUUCUGUGAGCAGGAAAGCAGGGGAUCGCAAGACCUUGCGCUGAUUGAGCGGCCGAUAUCAGAUUAGCUAGUUGGUGAGGUAAAGGCUCACCAAGGCGACGAUCUGUAGCGGGUCUGAGAGGAUGAUCCGCCACACUGGAACUGAGACACGGUCCAGACUCCUACGGGAGGCAGCAGUGGGGAAUUUUGGACAAUGGGCGCAAGCCUGAUCCAGCCAUGCCGCGUGAGUGAAGAAGGCCUUCGGGUUGUAAAGCUCUUUCGGCCGGGAAGAAAUCGCAUGGGUUAAUACCCUGUGCGGAUGACGGUACCGGCAUAAGAAGCACCGGCUAACUACGUGCCAGCAGCCGCGGUAAUACGUAGGGUGCGAGCGUUAAUCGGAAUUACUGGGCGUAAAGCGUGCGCAGGCGGUUUUGUAAGACAGGCGUGAAAUCCCCGGGCUCAACCUGGGAACUGCGCUUGUGACUGCAAGGCUAGAGUACGGCAGAGGGGGGUGGAAUUCCACGUGUAGCAGUGAAAUGCGUAGAGAUGUGGAGGAACACCAAUGGCGAAGGCAGCCCCCUGGGUCGAUACUGACGCUCAUGCACGAAAGCGUGGGUAGCAAACAGGAUUAGAUACCCUGGUAGUCCACGCCCUAAACGAUGUCAACUAGGUGUUGGGUGGGUAAAACCAUUUAGUACCGGAGCUAACGCGUGAAG